CAACAAACGCAAUGCACAUAACAAUUUAGAAACUGAAUAAGUAUAACAACUAUUUACAAUUUACACAGAUAAUCCAUGAUGAAGCGAGUUCACUAAAUAGUUUUUUUUUAAAAAAAAAAAAAAAUCUUUGAAACAUCUAUUUGCAUAAUUUUUUUUGCUUCCGCAUGGAAAAGUUGCGUGGAUAAGCAUUAAAUUUCUCAAUUUCUAACUGUAUUACUAUGCUAGCCAUCUUAUAGAUCACAUUAAUUUUGUCAACACUAAUCAUUUAAAAACAGUAGCUACUACAGUGAUGAAUAAAAAACCGAACUAUUAAUUAGAUCAAGUAACGAAUCCCUAGAUUUUCGAGUAGUAUCGACUUAAAUCUAAAUCACUACAACAAAUACUAAUGCCCAAUUGCAUAAACUACACAUCAAUUUUGCGCAAAUGAUCCCCGAACAAGUUAAUGGCGAAAGAUCUAAACAGAUCCGAGAAAGACGAACGCAUCAAAGAGAUCGAAAGAGGAAGACGAGGAAGAAGAAGCGUACCCCUCCAUCCGUGAACGAGAAUUGAUCGGCCAUAGCGUGAGAGAUCAAAUCCAAGUAUUAGAUCUGAUGAUGCUACUCUUACUCCUGCGAUUAUCGAGUAUUAGAUCGGAUUUUUCGCCACGAAGACAAAAAAGUAAAAAAUCCUAGAUCGAUUCGAAAAAAGUGUGGAAAAAUAUUAAAAAGAAUCCGCGAUUCGGAGCAAUGCGAUUUGUGGAAAUUGAGAGAGAGAAGGAGAAGAGAUGGGGACGGGGAAAAAUUGAUACCACGUUUACGCCACUUGUGGAACUUUCUCUUAAAAAAAAAAAAAAAAUCGUACCUGUAAAUAUUUUUGUAAUUUAAAAGAAAUUCGUAUAUGUAUAAAUACAUUAUUUAAUGGCUAUUUUCCUCAA
This 913-nucleotide long non-coding RNA is filed under the name Ananas comosus (pineapple). RNAcentral describes it as "long non-coding RNA (ACOM_LNC040931)". The record is from RNAcentral. Lineage: Eukaryota; Viridiplantae; Streptophyta; Magnoliopsida; Poales; Bromeliaceae.